UCCCAUUCUUGACUUCCUCAAGUCUUCUGCUGUCCGAUUGGCAAGAUCUCGUCCAUCUUCUGCAUCAUCAUCUCCUUCAGAAGUCGUUGCAGAAAUCCAGUCAACCAAACUCUCAGUUCCACGACUUUUCCUUCCAAACUUCAAUAAUCGUUUAAACCCUUUUGUCACGUCCUUGCGUGGCUGAUUAUGGGAUGAAUUAGAAACUAUAAUAGGCUUCUGACCACUUCCCCACUUCUUCCUCAUUCG
RNAcentral lists this unclassified non-coding RNA (246 nucleotides) under Hevea brasiliensis (rubber tree). The record is from RNAcentral. Lineage: Eukaryota; Viridiplantae; Streptophyta; Magnoliopsida; Malpighiales; Euphorbiaceae.